This 449-nucleotide ribosomal RNA is filed under the name uncultured bacterium. RNAcentral's name for it is "partial 16S ribosomal RNA". It matches the Rfam family "Bacterial small subunit ribosomal RNA", at positions 29 to 523 of the family's 1533-position model. The record is from RNAcentral.
AACGAACGCUGGCGGCAUGCCUAAUACAUGCAAGUCGAACGAGAUCUUCGGAUCUAGUGGCGCACGGGUGCGUAACGCGUGGGAAUCUGCCCUUGGGUUCGGAAUAACGGUUAGAAAUGACUGCUAAUACCGGAUGAUGACGAAAGUCCAAAGAUUUAUCGCCCAAGGAUGAGCCCGCGUAGGAUUAGCUAGUUGGUGAGGUAAAGGCUCACCAAGGCUACGAUCCUUAGCUGGUCUGAGAGGAUGAUCAGCCACACUGGGACUGAGACACGGCCCAGACUCCUACGGGAGGCAGCAGUAGGGAAUAUUGGACGAUGGGCGAAAGCCAGAUCCAGCAAUGCCGCGUGAGCGAUGAAGGCCUUAGGGUUGUAAAGCUCUUUUACCCGGGAUGAUAAUGACGGUACCGGGAGAAUAAGCCCCGGCUAACUCCGUGCCAGCCGCCGCAGUAA